Molecule: ribosomal RNA, 291 nt
Filed under: uncultured bacterium
Lineage: Bacteria
Description: partial 16S ribosomal RNA
Rfam family: Bacterial small subunit ribosomal RNA
Source: RNAcentral
AUGUAGUGCAAUCUGAUGCUUGACUAGUGCCGAACGGGUGAGUAAUACAUCUGAACGUGUCUAGGAUAGGGGGAUGACUCCUCGAAAGAGUAACUAAUACCGCACGAAAUCUAUACAUGAAAGCACGGGACCUUCGGGCCUUGUGCUACUUCAGCGGCUGAUGGCUCAUUAUGUAUUUGGUGGGGUAAAAGCUUACCAAACCUGCAAUAUCCAUCUGUGGUCUGAGAAGAACCACACACACCCUGGCUCUGAAACUGGGCCCAAACCCCCACGGGGGGCCCCAGUGGAAAA